UACGGGGGGAGCAAGCGUUGUCCGGAUUUACUGGGCGUAAAGAGCGCGCAGGCGGUCGUUCAAGUCGCGUGUGAAAGCCCCCGGCUCAACUGGGGAGGGUCACGCGAUACUGAUCGACUCGAAGGCAGGAGAGGGUAGUGGAAUUCCCGGUGUAGUGGUGAAACGCGUAGAUAUCGGGAGGAACACCAGUGGCGAAGGCGACUUCCUGGCCUGUUCUUGACGCUGAGGCGCGAAAGCUAGGGUAGCAAACGGG
This 253-nucleotide ribosomal RNA is filed under the name uncultured bacterium. RNAcentral describes it as "partial 16S ribosomal RNA". It matches the Rfam family "Bacterial small subunit ribosomal RNA", at positions 524 to 776 of the family's 1533-position model. The record is from RNAcentral.